This 611-nucleotide transfer RNA is filed under the name uncultured Prochlorococcus sp. Its description in RNAcentral is "partial contains 16S ribosomal RNA, 16S-23S ribosomal RNA intergenic spacer, and 23S ribosomal RNA". The stretch from base 227 to 299 matches the Rfam family "tRNA". The record is from RNAcentral. Lineage: Bacteria; Bacillati; Cyanobacteriota; Cyanophyceae; Synechococcales; Prochlorococcaceae.
UGGAUCACCUCCUAACAGGGAGACAACAAAAUGUUUAAUAUUAUUAUUUUGUCACCUUAGGUCGAUCGGCAUCUCACGUUCUUAAUUUGUUAAGAAUUUCAUUUUCUAAGUUUUUCUAGGUCACACCCAUUAUUUUUCCUGGGCCAUUAGCUCAGGUGGUUAGAGCGCACCCCUGAUAAGGGUGAGGUCCCUGGUUCAAGUCCAGGAUGGCCCAUAUCUCUAUGUUGGGGGUAUAGCUCAGUUGGUAGAGCGCCUGCUUUGCAAGCAGGAUGUCAGCGGUUCGAGUCCGCUUACCUCCACUGAUUACCACCUCUUCCAUAAUCUGUAGAAAGGAAAAAUUUUGUGUUGUGAUCCUAAUUCUGAACGAAUCUAGCUUCCUGAUGAACUCAUUAAGAUGCUGGACUCAUUGAAUUAAUUUCAUUGUUUUCAGAGAACCUUGACAACUGCAUAGAUUAUUUUAAAGACAAUAAGCAUCUUUAUUGAUGCAGAUUUAUUAUUUGUGCAAAUGCAUUAAUAACAAUUCUAUUGAGCUGAUGCUUCAAAUUUUGAAGUUAUUGGUCAAGCUACAAAGGGCUCACGGAGGAUACCUAGGCACACAGAGGCGAUGAAGG